GACGGAGGAUGCAAGCGUUAUCCGGAAUGAUUGGGCGUAAAGCGUCCGCAGGUGGCAAAUCAAGUCUGCUGUUAAAGCGCAGGGCUUAACUCUGUAAAGGCAGUGGAAACUGAUUAGCUAGAGUGUGGUAGGGGCAGAGGGAAUUCCCAGUGUAGCGGUGAAAUGCGUAGAUAUUGGGAAGAACACCGGUGGCGAAGGCGGCUCACUGGCUCGUAUCUGACGCUCAGGCGCGACAGCGUGGGGAUCAAACAGG
RNAcentral lists this ribosomal RNA (253 nucleotides) under uncultured bacterium. RNAcentral describes it as "partial 16S ribosomal RNA". It matches the Rfam family "Bacterial small subunit ribosomal RNA", at positions 524 to 776 of the family's 1533-position model. The record is from RNAcentral.